AUUGAACGCUGGCGGCAUGCCUUACACAUGCAAGUCGAACGGCAGCGGGGGAGAAGCUUGCUUUUCCUGCCGGCGAGUGGCGAACGGGUGAGUAUACAUCGGAACGUGCCCUGUAGUGGGGGAUAACUAGUCGUAAGAUUAGCUAAUACCGCAUACGACCUGAGGGUGAAAGUGGGGGACCGCAAGGCCUCAUGCUAUAGGAGCGGCCGAUGUCUGAUUAGCUAGUUGGUGGGGUAAAGGCCUACCAAGGCGACGAUCAGUAGCUGGGCUGAGAGGACGAUCAGCCACACUGGGACUGAGACACGGCCCAGACUCCUACGGGAGGCAGCAGUGGGGAAUUUUGGACAAUGGGCGAAAGCCUGAUCCAGCAAUGCCGCGUGUGUGAAGAAGGCCUUCGGGUUGUAAAGCACUUUUGUCCGGAAAGAAAUGGCUCUGGUUAAUACCUGGGGUCGAUGACGGUACCGGAAGAAUAAGGACCGGCUAACUACGUGCCAGCCGCCGCAGUAA
This 507-nucleotide ribosomal RNA is filed under the name uncultured bacterium. RNAcentral's name for it is "partial 16S ribosomal RNA". It matches the Rfam family "Bacterial small subunit ribosomal RNA", at positions 30 to 523 of the family's 1533-position model. The record is from RNAcentral.